AUCUGGGCGGCGGAAUUCAGGAUGGCUGGCGUGCUCCGCGCGUCGGUCGUUUGAUAUUUCCGUCGCCAAUUAACCGCAGACGUCGCGACCUGUUCGCGGUCGGUCCCUGCUCGGAGGAGCCGCGUUCGAGCUCGUUGUGUGCGCGUUUCGGCGUGUCACCGGCGAAGGCGCGGAUCUCUGGCUGGCCGUCGGACAGUAUGCUUAACGGUGUCCGGUGUCGUCGUCUCGUACGCGCGGCAUCGGUACCGGUCAGCGACGAAUUCUUCGGGCCUCUUUCCGACCCGUCUUGAAACACGGACCAAGGAGUCUAACAUGCGCGCGAGUCGCGGGGUAUCGAGCGUACUUCGGUGCGUUCGUUAUGUUGCGAAACCCGUACAUGUUGAAGGCGUAAUGAAAGUGAAUGGGGAAGAUGGUGUUCCGAGUACACGUUCCGCGAUCGUCGGUAUCGCGGCCGGGCACCCGCAUUCCCGGGGCGUCUCACCGGCCCGUCGUUGAUGCGGACAGUCGUCUCUCGGGGCGGCUGUCGGUCGGCGACGAACCGA
This 542-nucleotide ribosomal RNA is filed under the name Chrysomphalus dictyospermi. RNAcentral describes it as "eukaryotic LSU rRNA". The record is from RNAcentral. Lineage: Eukaryota; Metazoa; Arthropoda; Insecta; Hemiptera; Diaspididae.